AGUGGCGGACGGGUGAGUAACGCGUGAGCAAUCUGCCUUGGGGUCGGGGACAACCACUGGAAACGGUGGCUAAUACCGGAUAAGCCGAUUGGUGAAAGAUUUAUUGCCCGAAGAGGAGCUCGCGUCUGAUUAGCUAGUUGGUGAGGUAAGAGCUCACCAAGGCAGCGAUCAGUAGCUGGUCUGAGAGGACGAUCAGCCACACUGGGACUGAGACACGGCCCAGACUCCUACGGGAGGCAGCAGUGGGGAAUUUUCCGCAAUGGGCGAAAGCCUGACGGAGCAAGACCGCGUGAGGGAGGAAGGCUCUUGGGUUGUAAACCUCUUUUCUCAGGGAAGAAGCUCUGACGGUACCUGAGGAAUCAGCCUCGGCUAACUCCGUGCCAGCAGCCGCGGUAAUACGGAGGAGGCAAGCGUUAUCCGGAAUUAUUGGGCGUAAAGCGUCCGCAGGUGGCGAUUCAAGUCUGCUGUCAAAGCACGGGGCUUAACUCCGUAAAGGCAGUGGAAACUGAAUAGCUAGAGUGCCGUAGGGGUAGAGGGAAUUCCCGGUGUAGCGGUGAAAUGCGUAGAGAUCGGGAAGAACAUCGGUGGCGAAAGCGCUCUACUGGACGGCAACUGACACUCAGGGACGAAAGCUAGGGGAGCGAAUGGGAUUAGAUACCCC
This 661-nucleotide ribosomal RNA is filed under the name uncultured bacterium. RNAcentral describes it as "bacterial SSU rRNA". It matches the Rfam family "Bacterial small subunit ribosomal RNA", at positions 94 to 788 of the family's 1533-position model. The record is from RNAcentral.